This 414-nucleotide ribosomal RNA is filed under the name uncultured microorganism. RNAcentral describes it as "bacterial SSU rRNA". It matches the Rfam family "Archaeal small subunit ribosomal RNA", at positions 330 to 745 of the family's 1478-position model. The record is from RNAcentral.
GCGCAGCAGUCGAGAAACCUUCGCAAUGCGGGAAACCGCGACGAGGGGACUCCCAGUGCCUACGCUCAGCGUAGGCUGUUCCCGAGCCUAGAAAGCUCGGGGAGUAAGGGCUGGGUAAGACGGGUGCCAGCCGCCGCGGUAAUACCCGCAGCCCGAGUGGUGGCCACUAUUAUUGGGCCUAAAGCGUCCGUAGCCGGCCCGGUAAAUGCCUGGGUAAAUCGUGAGGCCUAACCUCACGAAUUCCGGGUAGACUGCCGGGCUAGGGGACCGGAGGAGGGAGAGGGUACUCCAGGGGUAGGGGUGAAAUCCUGUAAUCCCUGGAGGACCACCGGUGGCGAAGGCGCUCUCCUAGGACGGGUCCGACGGUGAGGGACGAAAGCCAGGGGAGCGAACCGGAUUAGAUACCCGCGUAGU